RNAcentral lists this transfer-messenger RNA (355 nucleotides) under Acidobacteriota. RNAcentral's name for it is "WLXD01 sp012103255 Standard tmRNA". It matches the Rfam family "transfer-messenger RNA". Rfam says of the family: Bacterial tmRNA, also known as 10Sa RNA or SsrA, is named for its dual tRNA and mRNA-like properties. Its role is to liberate the mRNA from a stalled ribosome. The record is from RNAcentral. RNAcentral also lists the same sequence under 1 other name. Lineage: Bacteria; Pseudomonadati.
GGGGGCGACAGGGUUCGACGGGAACUCUGAAGCCGAAGUUGCAUGUCGAGCGUCUCAGACUGCUCGUAAAAACCACUGAGAAAACACACAACUGCCGAAACACCGGUAGCUCUAGCGGCCUAAACCCCGCUAGCGUGGCCCAGAGCAGACCUGCAGGCUCUGGCAACCACGUCAUACAGCAGGUUGGCUGCGUGCCGCACCUCAGGGUGGCGUAGCGAGAAAACACUGAGGCGUGCGCUUUCACUGGCCUGUCCGCUGGGCAGGUGCUAGCGCGAGAAUUAAUCAGCGGAACAAGCAUGUAGACGCUUCUGCGGAUGGUUUUCGGACGCGGGUUCGAUUCCCGCCGCCUCCACUG